RNAcentral lists this ribosomal RNA (305 nucleotides) under uncultured bacterium. RNAcentral's name for it is "partial 16S ribosomal RNA". It matches the Rfam family "Bacterial small subunit ribosomal RNA", at positions 506 to 807 of the family's 1533-position model. The record is from RNAcentral.
ACAGCAGUAGCCGCGGUAAUGCGUAGGUGGCAAGCGUUGUCCGGAAUUAUUGGGCGUAAAGGGCUCGCAGGCGGUUUCUUAAGUCUGAUGUGAAAGCCCCCGGCUCAACCGGGGAGGGUCAUUGGAAACUGGGAAGCUUGAGUGCAGAAGAGGAGAGUGGAAUUCCACGUGUAGCGGUGAAAUGCAUAGAGAUGUGGAGGAACACCAGUGGCGAAGGCGACUCUCUGGUCUGUAACUGACGCUGAGGAGCGAAAGCGUGGGGAGCGAACAGGAUUAGAUACCCGGGUAGUCCCUGUCUCUUAUAC